This 253-nucleotide ribosomal RNA is filed under the name uncultured bacterium. RNAcentral's name for it is "partial 16S ribosomal RNA". It matches the Rfam family "Bacterial small subunit ribosomal RNA", at positions 524 to 776 of the family's 1533-position model. The record is from RNAcentral.
UACGUAGGGUGCGAGCGUUGUCCGGAUUUAUUGGGCGUAAAGAGCGUGUAGGCGGCCAUGUAGGUCCGUUGUGAAAACUCGAGGCUCAACCUCGAGACGCCGAUGGAAACCAUGUGGCUAGAGUCCGGAAGAGGAGAGUGGAAUUCCUGGUGUAGCGGUGAAAUGCGCAGAUAUCAGGAAGAACACCGAUGGCGAAGGCAAUCCCCUGGGCCUGCACUGACGCUCAUGCACGAAAGCGUGGGGAGCAAACAGG